UUUCCGUACGUAGCACAUAUGUAUGUUUUGAACAUAUAAACUCCAUACGGUUAUA
Molecule: microRNA precursor, 55 nt
Filed under: Octopus vulgaris (common octopus)
Lineage: Eukaryota; Metazoa; Mollusca; Cephalopoda; Octopoda; Octopodidae
Also listed under: 1 other name
Description: Ovu-Mir-12556_pre stem-loop
Source: RNAcentral